Herpailurus yagouaroundi (jaguarundi) is the source of this 2388-nucleotide long non-coding RNA. RefSeq lists it as uncharacterized. The transcript is spliced from 2 exons. Lineage: Eukaryota; Metazoa; Chordata; Mammalia; Carnivora; Felidae. The record is from RefSeq and is a predicted model, not a curated record.
CAUUAAUAGCUAACAUUCAAUAUACGUUAAAGACUUUUACCAGGGCUUUAUGUGUGUUGGUUUACUUAAUUCUCUUAACAGCACAACAUAUGAAAAAAACAGGCCAGACAAAUCCUUGCCCAAGGCCAUACUAGUAAAUGGCAAAGCCAAGUUUCAAACCAAAGCAGGUUGAAUCCAGAAUCUGUGCUUUUAACCACUAACUUGUAUCACCUUUCCAAAGGAGAGCAAACACAGUGUGAACUAUAUGCCGAGUGCUGUUCUAAGUGCCUUACCCAUGCACACCCUCUUAAUUCUCAUAAUGCUGAUGUAGGCAUUACUGUCCCCAUUUCACAGCUGAAGAAACUGAGGCACAGGCCAGUAAAAAGUUUAAGAUAAUGAUUGAAGUUGAGGGUGUGCUUAAAGGCAAGAUUUUAAAACAAAGUCUGUUUAAAGAAUACUCAGCAGCGUCAGAAUUGAGUCCUGAACUCCUUUCUCCUUUUUCCUUUGCUUUGGGGUUUUCUUACUUCCAUAGAUGCCGCUGCCUGCAGGCUGUCCCCGAGCCACAUUGCCUCUCUUUGGUGGUUUUGGUCUAGGUAUGGGGAUUAGUUUCUUCUUUUGAUGCUUCCUAUCAUGGCUGGGGUUUUUGAAACCCAUGCCCUUAAAUAGAACAAGAGACGCUAACUUCCUCUGCCGAGCACUACAUGCUGAGAUGGUGCUGCUUUUGCACCAAGAUUCUGGGGCAACUUCACAGAAGCCUACCUUCUUCCUAGCUCCAGCCUGCCCUCCGUAGUUACCACCAGUUUUCCCCUUUCCCUCCACAGCCAAGAUGGCUUUGGGUCCCCUCCCCAAAUGUUUGUCCCCCCCCCCCCAUUGGUAAUUGACAAAAUGAACGGUCCCACUCUGCCAGUGAGAACGCGUGCUUUCUUACAGCAAUGGAUGUUUAGGUGGUUGGUCAGGAGAUAAUGUGAGCCUGUGUUGGGGUGGGGGGAAGGGAGUCUGUUUCAUCAGAGGCUAUAGACCCCAAGGAGAUAGCUUAGUAGUUACUUCACUUAAUUAGCAGAAAAUGAGGCCCAGUGGUUUGGAUUAUUCUACCCACAUCCAGAUGCUGUAAGAAACCUCAGUCCAUACGAAUGACCGCUCAGCAUUCCCAUAUUCCCCCUCCCAGAACAUAUGAUCUAUUUCUUACCAAUCUAACUCAUCCUAGCUAGCGAUCUGCUAACAAAAGCAAUCUUUCCUCAAAUCAAAGUUUCUUCACCCUUUGUUUGUUUUUGGUGUUGCUUAAGAAAUAGCACUUCAAAUGCCCUCAGCCUUAAAAGAAAGCAGGCGGAUGUGGAAAGUAGUCUGAACCACUGUUGUCUCUGCACUGACACUUCCCGCGUUUUAAUAAGCUGGCACUCCACCACACUCUGGUAGCAUAAGUGAGCAGAAUUUCCAUUUUUACGAAAGAUCUACAGUUGAUUUUCUAAAAAGGAACAAAAUAAUAACCAGAUGGUAGUUGAUAGGCCAACUUUAAAGGCAAGUGUUUGUUUUGAUCUCUUUUCCAAGGGAAAGAAAGUUUGGAUAAUUAGUAGAAGAAUAAGAAAAAAAAAGAAAGAGGAGAAUAAGUGCCUAAGAUAAUGUAUAAAGAGAAACGUGAGGAGGAAUGGAUAGUGGAAAACAAGGGAAAAAAUCGUCACUUCUAGAAAAAGAGAAAACGAGAGGAAAAAAUUUAACUGCAGAUUUUUCACCAAAUGGUUGCCUAGACGACUUAAUGAGGAGUAGUUCCGUCUCUACUGAAUAGUUGCUGAAACACACCCUGAAUUUAGAGUCUUUUGGCUCCACGACUAUCAACUGGAAAACCAUCAUGUUUCAGGCAUAUUAGUUAUGAGUGCCAUAUUUUCUAUACUAUGCUUUUCUCCUAACAAUAGAAGUGGUUGGUUGCAAUCAAUUUGGUGUGUAAUAGAAGGAUAGGAAGAUUGAAACACAAGCAUGAUGAGAGUUUUGGAGUCAGAUUAGCCUAGGAUGGCAUAUUAAUAUGUGUAACAUCGAGUAACAAACUGAGGAAAAAGUAAAUUAGGAAGCAGCUCAAAGCCCAUUUGGCAAUGUAAGAUCAUCUUUACAUAUUGCCAAGGUUGCUGUUGAGAAGCAUUUUUCCAUGUAAAGAGUUUGGUACACUUGAGGCUACUUAGUGUAGAGACAAAAAAUGUCACUUUUUACAAGAGAGUUUUUUUUGUUUUUAAUCUUCCAUUAACAUCUGGCUCCUAUGGAUUCUGUUAUCACUGUUUUCUGUUUAAUUAAAUAAUUAUAAAAAAUAAAAAGUGUUUUUAAAUGCUUUACUGCUCCUAUUUGAAUUUGUCUUUUCUACAGUUUACUGUAUUUUCCAGAAAAUGUUAAUAUUACAUUGUUAUAAAUAAACCCAUCUCUACAAAA